Molecule: non-coding RNA, 148 nt
Filed under: Chlorocebus sabaeus (green monkey)
Lineage: Eukaryota; Metazoa; Chordata; Mammalia; Primates; Cercopithecidae
Source: Rfam by way of RNAcentral
GCCGGGCAUGGUGGCGGGUGCCUGUAAUCCCAGCUACUCAAGAGGCUGAGGCAGGAGAAUCGCUUGAACCCGGGAGGUGGAGGUUGCAGUGAGCUGGGAUCGUGUCACUGCACUCCAGCCUGGGUGACAGAGUGAGACUCUGUCUCAA